GCGCGAUAGUAAAGUGGAGACUGCUCCACGACAGACACAACUGCAUCAUACUCGGCAGCAUGCUAACGCUAAGCUAGCCAAGAACCCAGAGUGACGUUAAAGCUGACCCCAGACCAGCACCUGAACAGGAUUCCACAGAGUCAACCAAACGUAGUUGUGGAGGUAGACUGUUCCACAGCCUUGGUGCCACAGACUGAAAGGCUCCGCCCCCUUUCCUCUUCAGUCGUGUUCGGGGAGCAACCAACAAACUCUGUUUCUGAGCAGAGACAACGAGCAGCAGUGUAUUUUGUGAGAAGCCUGGAUAAAUCAUCUGGGGCCUGGCCAUGUACUGCUCGAGCACUUUCAUAAUCACUUUGCAAAUGAUGGGCUCCCCUCGGCCACCCACGGAGCCAUCGCCAGCUCUAAGGCUUGCAUCAUUCUGUGUCUGCAGCACGCUGCUCUAUAUGUUCUAUCGGUCUGGCGUUGGCAUGAGCUCACCACCCUGGAGGAGGUGAUCAGUGACUGCUCUUAAUCAUGGACUCCCAC
Long non-coding RNA from Astatotilapia calliptera (eastern happy), 525 nucleotides. The record is from Ensembl. Lineage: Eukaryota; Metazoa; Chordata; Actinopteri; Cichliformes; Cichlidae.